Molecule: ribosomal RNA, 253 nt
Filed under: uncultured bacterium
Lineage: Bacteria
Description: partial 16S ribosomal RNA
Rfam family: Bacterial small subunit ribosomal RNA
Source: RNAcentral
UACAUAGACUGCAAGCGUUAUUCGGAUUCACUGGGCGUAAAGGGUGCGCAGGUGGCCGUGUGUGUCAGAUGUGAAAUCCCGGGGCUUAACUCCGGAACUGCGUCUGAAACUACACGGCUAGAGCAUUGGAGAGGGUAGUGGAAUUCACGGUGUAGCAGUGAAAUGCGUAGAUAUCGUGAGGAACACCAGAGGCGAAGGCGACUACCUGGACCAACACUGACACUGAGGAGCGAAAGCCAGGGGAGCAAACGGG